Molecule: long non-coding RNA, 1216 nt
Organism: Triticum aestivum (bread wheat)
Lineage: Eukaryota; Viridiplantae; Streptophyta; Magnoliopsida; Poales; Poaceae
Exons: 3
Source: RefSeq, a predicted model, not a curated record
GUCGACGACAUGUACAUCCUGUCCUCCCCGUGCUUCUGCUUGCCCGGGACGCAACUCUUUGGUGUGCUCGAGAAGAUGUGCAAGAAGAAAAGGGCCACUGGAUUGUACAGGAGGAACGGGAUGCUGUUCUCUGCUACUCGACCUAGCCUUGCUGCUCGACCACACUCGACCUAGCCUUGCUGCUUGACCACAUUGCCCCUGAAAACAUGGUAAGGGCAAGGAUGGAUUUAUGCAAAUUCACGUCGUUGAUGCGGGAUCGCGCCGGCCCUCCCUUGUGCUAGCCAGCCAUCAGGAAGCUCCUGGUGGUGCUCCUGGAUGUGCUAUGCAUCACCUCAUCCUCGUGCUCAUCGGUGGGACGGUGCAAGGCGCAACUCCAAUGCAGCGGCGUGGAUGUGCGGUGUAGGAAGCGGUUCCUCGCCGGCCGGAUGGCGUUCAGGCGCAACCCCGGCGCCCACUGAGUACUGCCUCGGCUACAACCUCCCUCGGUGAGCUCCAUCUUCCUCCUGCUCUGCUUCGGCUACUGCAUGGGACAUGGCCAGGGCUACGAUGAUCAGUUAUGGCUGGUAUAGGCAUGCUCUCGAGCAAUUGAGGCAUUUCUGGGUAUUAAUUUGGAUCCCCCCUCAUUUCUUUGAGCCAUUUUGAUCACGUUCUUAUUUUAGUGGCUCUGUCCUUGGAUGGUCAUUUCUGAUGAGUGAUAACCAGGGCAGUUUCACCGUCGUAAGAACAUAUUGAUCUGGUGAUCCAUCGAGAAAGAAGAAACGAAAUACCUCACCUGGCUCCUCAGAGCUCAGACACUUUCGGCCGUCGGAUCGGUUUCCUGAUGCGAUUCUGGCUGCCGGAUCUCGCUCCGGAUUGAUCUCGGCCGUAAGAUCGAGCCCGAGCUCCUGUAGCCAUGAAUAGUUACUCCUACGGUGAGAUAUCUCGUGCCACCACGUUUGAAUCAUGUGCCCCAUUGGUCGGAAGCCAUUCUUGCUAGGGCGAUGAUGAUUAGCCGUGGCUGAAAUAAGUGUGCCUUUGAGCAAUCGAGGCACCUAUGGGUAUCAAGUUGGAUCCUCCUCCUUGUCUCUAGAAUCCUUUUUGAUCCUUUGAUACUUAUUGUUCUGUCCUUGGAUGGUCAUUCUUGUUGAAUGAUAACCAGGGCAGCUCCAUUGUAUAAACAGAUUAAUAUGGUGAAAGAGAUGAUGGGGGUAGAUUAUAUGAUUGAGGAAAGGCGAAU